This 73-nucleotide transfer RNA is filed under the name candidate division WWE3 bacterium CG_4_10_14_0_2_um_filter_41_14. Its description in RNAcentral is "tRNA-Trp". It matches the Rfam family "tRNA". From Rfam's summary of the family: Transfer RNA (tRNA) molecules are approximately 80 nucleotides in length. Their secondary structure includes four short double-helical elements and three loops (D, anti-codon, and T loops). The record is from RNAcentral. Lineage: Bacteria; candidate division WWE3.
GGGGGUGUGGUGUAGCGGUCAGCAUAACGGUCUCCAAAACCGUCGGUCGUGGGUUCGAAUCCCACCGCCCCUG